AUUGAACGCUGGCGGCAUGCUUUACACAUGCAAGUCGAACGGUAACAGGCCGCAAGGUGCUGACGAGUGGCGAACGGGUGAGUAAUGCAUCGGAACGUGCCCAGUCGUGGGGGAUAACGCAGCGAAAGCUGUGCUAAUACCGCAUACGAUCUAUGGAUGAAAGCGGGGGACCGUAAGGCCUCGCGCGAUUGGAGCGGCCGAUGUCAGAUUAGCUAGUUGGUGGGGUAAAGGCCCACCAAGGCGACGAUCUGUAGCUGGUCUGAGAGGACGACCAGCCAAACUGGGACUGAGAAACGGCCCAGAGUCCUACGGGAGGCAGCAGUGGGGAAUUUUGGACAAUGGGCGCAAGCCUGAUCCAGCAAUGCCGCGUGCAGGAAGAAGGCCUUCGGGUUGUAAACUGCUUUUGUACGGAACGAAACGGUCCGGGUUAAUACCCUGGGCUAAUGACGGUACCGUAAGAAUAAGCACCGGCUAACUACGUGCCAGCAGCCGCCGUAA
Molecule: ribosomal RNA, 498 nt
Filed under: uncultured bacterium
Lineage: Bacteria
Description: partial 16S ribosomal RNA
Rfam family: Bacterial small subunit ribosomal RNA
Source: RNAcentral